RNA transcript from Carassius carassius (crucian carp), 7454 nucleotides. It is a transcript of the gene named ankyrin repeat domain-containing protein 26-like, with no coding region annotated. The record is from RefSeq and is a predicted model, not a curated record. The transcript is spliced from 46 exons. Lineage: Eukaryota; Metazoa; Chordata; Actinopteri; Cypriniformes; Cyprinidae.
ACAGCAAAACAUAACGAGUUCCGUUAUUUGGUAUAAGUCUCGUUUAUUUUAUUAAACACAAAACCAGAUCAUUUUCACACUUCUUAAAAUUUCCCAGACGUUUUGUACCUAGUACAACAUUUUAGAAUGAAUUAUUAUGAUUAAAUACGAGCUUCGCGCUGUUACCAUAGUAACAGAAGCCGCUAGCUUGCUGCUAGCGUCGUAAACGGCUCAUCCUCCGAUGCGUCUUAGUCGAUAACUAGCAUCAUUUCUAAUCUUCUCGUGUCUUAUUUUUCGUCUAAAAUAUAAACACUAGACGCCCAACACCGAAAAGACAAUGUAGGAUGUAUUUUUAGCAGAUGGAUCAGACACAUUCAGGGCGAUCAGUACCUGAAGCUCAGGUGAACGACAGUCUGCUGAUGGAGAUGUGCCUUUACACAUCAUGAAGAAAAUCUUCAACUUCAAGAAGAAGAAGGGCUCCCGCAGUCCCUCGGAGACGGGGAGCGUGUUGUCGGCCAGCUACGAUGUGAAGGAGAAAGACCUCGCCAAGAUCCACAAGGCUGCGUUCAGCGGAGAUGUGGCCAAAAUCAGACAGCUGGCCAAAAAGAAUGAUUUAAAUCAGCUGGAUAAGGAAAAUAGAACUGCGCUGCACAUCGCUUGUGCCUGCGGACACACAGAUGUGGUUCAGUUCUUGGUGGAGAGCAAAGUGAAGCUGAACUUAUGCGACAAUCAGAACCGCUCCGCCUUAAUGAAGGCGGUUCAGUGUGAACAAGACCGCUCCGUCUCUUUGCUCCUGGAACAUGAGGCUGACCCCAACCUGGUGGACAUCAAUGGAAACACUGCAUUGCACCUGGCCGCCCGUAUCCCCUCCCUCCCUGUGGCUCUGCAGCUCCUGGAGCACUCAGCCAACAUCAACGCACAGAACAAGGAUGGCAACACUCCACUGAUGCUGGCUGUGAUGGAAAACCAUGCAGACAUGACCGAGCUUUUAUUGAAAGAGGGAGCAGAAGUUAAUGUCAAGAACCAGGAGCAACGGUCUGCGUUGAUGAUAGCUGCAUGCAAUGGACAAAUCAGCAUGGUGCGUUUGCUUCUGCAGUACGACGCCGACAUCACGGUGAAAGAUGAUAAGGGCUGGUCUUCUGAUGAUUAUGCCGUCAUGAAUGGACAUCACGCAUGUUCACAUCUGAUUAUUGAGCAUGGGACGAAGAGAAGAUCCCUUCAGUCUCCUUCCCAUUUCACUGGCAGCAAAAAGAAACCGACGUCUGUUCUCGGCAGCCCUGGUGGUAUUGGGGCUGGUUUGUCUUUGGGAGGACCAGCUCUGGAUAAAGAUGCAGCAGGAAGCAGCUCUGCAGGAGCAGGGAAAGAUACAGAGUACAAUUCUCACACAGAAUCCAUUAGCAGGGCAUCAAAAAGUGGUGCUGCUGAUCCUUGGCCUUCAUCAGAUGAUGAUGAUGAUGAGUUAGAUUUGAGCCCAAAGAAACAUAAAGUAAACUUGAAGAAACUCAUAAGUUCCACAAAAAGGGAAAAAGUAGAAGUCAUAGUGGAUCGGGAUGCAGACAAAUCCUGGAGCGGAUCAGAGUCUGAACCAGACAGUGGGAAUAAGGGUGAAAUCCACCAUCCACUGUCUAGACCACUCCCAUCCAGCAGCACCGCCCUCCACCCCCCUGUAGCAACCCCACCUGCCUCUUUACCCCACCCACCCCAGAUGAGCUCCACCCCCUUCAGCAGCACCCUUAAGGUAACCCUCAGUGAUGAGGAAGAGGAGGAUGAAGAAGAUGAGGAUGAGAGGGAAGAACUGGAGGAAAUGUGCGACAAGGCUAAAGGUCCUCAAAAUGGUGCUACUAGCAAAGAAAAGCGAAGAGAUUUCCUUUCAGAACUGGGACUCGAAAAGGAAGAUGAAAAUGACGACUCUCCCUGGGAUUCAGAGUCUGGUUCUGAGAGCCCACAGAAGAAACAAGCCAGUGAUCUACACACUCCUGCCAAAUUACAUAGAUCUAUGUCCAGUAUUUGUGAGGAGAAUUCUGAAGACUUCUUAUACGUCCCCUCCUUUGUAAGAGGAGGGAGGAACAGUAAUUUAGUGAGAAGUUUAGGCCAGCCAGGAGCGUGCAGGCCGAUGGUUUUAAGAAAGGAUGAGGAUGAUGAAGAAGAGAAGGAAACUGAAAUACCACCUAAAGUGGUCAAAAGAGAGACGGUGUCUGUUCUUAGUAAGCUGAUGGAUUCAAAAGAAGCUAAUAAGAAAACAGAUCUGAUGGAAGAGCUUGGUUUGGGGGAUGCUGAUGAUCUUGAAGAUGCUUCAGACUGGGACUCUGCCAGUACCACCAGCAAGGCCAGUAAGAAAUUCCCAGUUCAUAAACUGGAUGAGGAACCCAUCUUUGAAAGCCCAGCAGCUUCCGUACUACCCAUAACAUCCGAGGAGCAGGACAUGGACACAAGGGAACAUAAAGAAGCCAGUCCAGAGAGAAACAAACCCACAACCUUAAGCACUACACCUCAACCUAGUCCACGUUCUCUCAACCCAAACGCCAGCUCAAAACCGCAAGCACUGCCACGACUGCGCUUGGACUCCAAUCAGAGGCUGGAGAGUGAAGAAUCGGACUUGGAUUUGGAAACUUCCAGUCCAGCCAAGAUGACAAAUUCACUGCCAAAUAUCGCUGAGCCUGAUGCAGUUCAUCGGCAGGAACCCAAAGCUAAAGAUGUCGAGAGUGAAAACAGUUCUUACACAAGUGAAGAUGCAGAUCAGGCAAGAGAGGCAUUACAAGCGUCUUCUGUAGACAUAAAUAGACCAUCUAACCUUGAACCAAAGGAGCGCCCAAGCUCUCCUAGAGAGGACGAACAAGAGGAAAAAUCUGAUGAGAUUCCCUGGGAGGAACGCUAUGAGAAAAUAUGGGUGGAGAAAGACAAAAAGGAGACCAAGUCUCAGUACAAAAAUGUGGCCGCUGAACUAAAAGAGAGGUUCGGCGAACUGGAGCACAAGGAACCGCUGAGUGACCUUUCGGAGCAGGAGUGGAAAGAAGAUGAACAAGGGGAUGAAGAGGAAAAGAAAGAGGUGGAAAAGGAAGCAGAUGAUGAAGAUUCCAGCGAGGAAGAGGGAGAGUCAAUAGUGCGGCUCACCACACGGGUGAAAAGUGCCAUACUUUUGCCCAUCCCAGAGCAGAGAGAGUCCGGCCUGGAGGACUCGCAGUCUGAAAGUGUCCACCGCACGGUUAGUGUUGAGGUCAGCGAUGCAGAGCUUCCCAGUGACAAGCACGACCCUCAAAUCAUCCCAGAAGCCCUAACGGAAGAGACCCAGGAGCCAGAGAACCGAACGAAUGGAAGCAAAGUUAAGUGUCCACUAGAAUCUGCAAGCAACAUAGAACCCGAAGAACUUCACAAACCUUCAUUGCUUGUUGAGAAUGAGCUACAAGUCGCACCCAAAGUUCUAGAAGUGCCCUCUUCUGACUCCAUUGAGGUUGACGAGGGCCUGUGGAAGUCCAGACUUGAGGGUAAUAAGGAACAGUUGGAUAGUAUGAAGGGAGAACACCUGCCCAGUGCUUUAUGGGAUACUAGAGGAACCAGAGAACGAGGUGAACUUGACCAAGCAAAAGGGAAGAAAACUGACAACAACUCUGGGAACCUGAAACCUCAACAGAAAGGGAUGGCUGAUGGCAGAUCUUUGGGAAGAGAGGGUAGUGUUUCACCAAGACAUCUGACAAGAAGUCCAAGAAGUACUGACAGGGCACGACCACAUGGUGAGGAAGAUGAAGAGGAGGAAAAGAAAACUGUAGGUAGCCAAGCCAGAAAUCUCCGUGUAGCUCCCCCUCUGCAGGGCAAACCCUCCCGACCUGCGACCCGCCAUAACGGAGACCUCGAGUCUGUCUUUGAUGAUAGUACUUUAAGUGAGCUAUCGGAAGAGGACAGGAGGUCCCCAUCUUCAAGGCGUAAGAAAGAGCAGAGUACUGGAGAGCUGGAGAUGGGGGAUGAUUUUGAAGAUCUCACCCAGUCUUCUGACACAGCCACUGAGGAACUAGAGACUCCAGUAUCUGGAUACCACAAUGCAUCUCUGCUCUUCAAACAGCUGGACUCCAGCUAUCUGGACUCUGUGAGUGUGGUGAAACUACAGAACAUGUUUCAUGAGUACGAACGCACCAUCCAGAGGGAGAGAGACAGACACAGCCGUCUGGCGGAUAAAACCUCUCAGCUGGAGCAGGAACGCAACGAGCUCAAGAUCCUGCUGGAUGAGAUCAGAGGCAGCAAGACCGGCCUAGAACAUCUCAAACUGGAGCUGGAAACGGACAUGAACAAUCUCAAGUUCCUGUUGAGACAGGAACAGGAAAAGCAUCAAAGCGCUCACAUGCUGUAUAAUAAAACCCGUGAGCAGCUCCAGAGGAAAGAGGAGCAGCAGCGAGCCGAGGCCGAGGAGCGCCACAAAGCCGAGCUGAAAGUCCGUAGUUUGGAACUGGAGAUCAGAGCUCUAAAGAACAGCAUCAAACAGCUUGAGGAGGACAGAGAUGAGUCUCAGCGUCUCUUGUCUCAUGAGCGCAGUGCUCGCGCCCUACAGGAGGAGUUACUCAACAACCAUCUGCGUAAGCAGCAGAACAUUGAAGAGGAGAACCUUCGAAACCUCAACAAGAGCAAUGAGGCCAUGUCCCAGCUCACAGAGGCAUCGGAUCGUGAGCGAGAGUUGAUGCAACAAAACCGAGCUCUACAGGAUGAUCUGAACACUGCUCGAGCUGAGCUGGACCGCUCACAGUGCCACAGCCGACAGGAAGAGUCCCGGCUGGCAGAGGAGAGAGACGCUCUUCGUGAGAGACUGGAGGAUGCCCGCAGGGACAUGAAACUGAGCGAGGAGGCCUUGGCCCAGACUGUGUUCCAGUACAACGGGCAGCUGAGCGCACUGAAGGCCGAAUGCUCAGUGAUCACGGCUAAACUGGAGCACGAGAGGCAAGUGAGGCAGCAACUGGAGGCCGAGGCCGAGGCGAGCAGGGGACGACUGCAGGCAGCACUGCAGGAGGCAGAGAGAUGCCAGGCAUCACGCACAGAUGCAGAGCGCUCUCUCCAGCGAGACCGUGAGGAGCACCAGCGGGCGCAGGAAAAGCACAUCUUUGAGUCCAGUACACAACGAGACACCAUCCAGUCCCUGUCCCAGAAACUCAGCAAGGCCGAGGCGCGUGCCAACAGCCUGGAGAACGAGUGUCACCGCAACGCUCUGACCAUCGCUGAGAAGGGCGUACUGUUGGAGACUCUGGCCCGGGAGAAAGACCAGGCCCUGGCCAAACUCAAAGAACUGGAGGCCACGGUACUGAGCGAACGGGAGCAGGCCAGCCGUGCUGGAGCCAGACAGGAAGCAGUGCAGGAGAGACUGGCCCAGGCUCAGAGUGAGAAUGCACUGCUACGACAGCAGCUGGAGGAGGCGCUCAACAAGGGCUCGGCCAAGGAGAAAGCCGUUACAGAUGUGCAACAAAACUUCGCCGAAAUGCUGAACCAGUUACGUGCAGACGGAGAGGAGAGAGUCCACCUAGUGGAGGAGAGAAGCAAAGAGCUGGCAAAGACAAACAGCGAGCUAAGAGAUCAGAAUUACAAACUAGAGCAGGAGAAAGCUGAUCGAGAGAGCUCUCUGAGGCAGCUGCAGCAGGAACUGGCCGACUGUCUGAAGAAGCUGUCCAUGUGUGAGGCUUCUCUGGAGGUCAACACACGCUACCGUAAUGAUCUGGAGGAAGAGAAGGUGCGCACACACAAGGACAUGGACAGAUUGAGGGGAAAGCUGCAGGAGUCUGAGGAAGUGUACGUCCAGGCAGAGAGACGCAUCAGCCAGCUGAAGAGCUCUCUGGACGACAAAGAGCGAGAAGCCUGCAGUACCGCUCAGAAACUAGAGGAGGCGCUAGCUGCUUCCACAAGCAAAGAGCAAACCAUUAAACAGCUGGAGGAGGCGGUGCAGAGGUUAGAGAUCGAGAACGCCAGACUGGAGGCCACGACCAAACAGCAGACCAACCGCAUCGAGGUGCUUCAGAAGGGCGUUCAGGAGGGCACUGUGCUAUCAGGCUCAUCACCUGGAGAAGGGGUCAGGAAUCGUUUGGAAGACAUCGUCACAAACCUGCAGAGCAGUAAGAUGACACUAGAAGAACAACUCAACCGAGAGGUACAGAAGCAGAGUAUGCUAUCCCAUAAUGCCCAGGACUCACAAGCACUGUGGGAGGAGGAGCUAAAGGGCCGCUCACGACUGGGACUCCGCCUCUCUGAGCUGGAGAAAGAGAAAGGAGAACUGACCAAUCAGAUGGAGCUCGAGAAGAAAAAGGCCAAAAAACUAUCCGAGCAGAAGAAAUCUGUGGACACGCGUCUGGAGCAGGAGAUGAAGAGAAACACAGACCUUCAGAAAGAAAUGUACAGGUUGAAAACGCUGUUGAAGACGGCUAAGAAGCAGCUGCGUGAACAGGGCGGUGGACAGCUGGACUCUCCUCUGGGCAGCUUCAGAGCAGACAUGAGCCACCGACUGGAGGCAGAGAGCGCCGUCAGCAGAAUGAAGACCCGGGUGGAUGAGCUGCAGUCUCAGUACGAGCGGGAGGCAUCACGCUGCUCGAGGCUGGAGGAGGUGAACAGACAGCUGAAGGAGAAGCUGUCGUCAGUGAAGAGCCUGAGCCGAAGCCACGAGCAGCUGGAGCGCAGUAAGAGGCAGCUGGAGGAGGAGGUGUCCAGUCUGCGCCGGCAGCUGGAGGCCGGUGUGAUGGACCAGAGCCAGGCCGAGCAAUACCGCAGGGAGACGGAGGAAAGAGCCCGACAGGAGAUCCGACACAAACUAGAGGAGGUCAACCUCUUCCUGCAGACGCAGGCGGCGUCUCAGGAAGCUCUGGAGCAGAUGAAAGCUGCUAAUGAGGCCAGUCAGCGUGCUCAACUGGAGCAGCGCAUCAGGGAUCUGGAGGGAGAACUCAGCCGUUUACGCAGUAUUCAGCAGGACAGUCUCGUUCAGAGAGACUCCAGCAACACAGAGCUGGAGCGCUACAAACAGCUGUACAGCGAAGAGCUCCGCCUCCGCAAGAGUCUGGCUGCCAAACUAGAAAGGUCGAAUGAGCGGUUAGCGGAGGCCAACACUAAACUCCUGAGCGAGAGGCAGCGCAGUAAAUCUCUGCUCACCAGCAGUAUAGGGAACGCUGGUUUAGGGGGUCCCGCUCUGGAUAUGGCAUCUGUGGGGGCAUACGGAGCCUCUCUGGGACCCCUGAACAGAAGCCUGGGCCUCGGGACGCCUCUGCUGGGUACGGUAGGGGAAUCGCAGAGCAGCCGUGUAGAGGCCUACCUGGCGAAGCUUCUAGCUCAAAAGUCUGUUUCUCACCUGUCCUCUCUGCAGCCUGAUACCUGAGCAGAUGCAGACGGAGCUGGAGAAGAACAUAUCGAAGGAGCUGGACUACGGAGGAACUGCCCGCAUGUCUCCUGUAGGAUCGGCCUCUAGCUCCCAGAACCAGAACCUGAACCUGACCCUGGAGCAGCCGGACCCCGUCAGCAGAGCC